CCUACGGGCGGCAGCAGUGGGGAAUAUUGCGCAAUGGGCGAAAGCCUGACGCAGCGACGCCGCGUGAGGGAUGAAGGUCUUCGGAUCGUAAACCUCUGUCAGCAGGGAAGAACGGUCACUGUGCUAAUCAGCAGUGAAUUGACGGUACCUGCACAGGAAGCACCGGCUAACUCCGUGCCAGCAGCCGCGGUAAUACGGAGGGUGCGAGCGUUAAUCGGAAUUACUGGGCGUAAAGCGCGCGUAGGCGGUAUCUCAAGUCAAGGGUGAAAGCCCCGCGCUCAACGUGGGAACGGCCUUUGAAACUGGGAAACUUGAGUGUAGGAGAGGAUAGUGGAAUUCCAGGUGUAGGGGUGAAAUCCGUAGAUAUCUGGAGGAACAUCAGUGGCGAAGGCGACUCUCUGGUACAUAACUGACGCUGAGGAGCGAAAGCGUGGGUAGCAAACAGGAUUAGAUACCCGGGUAGUC
This 465-nucleotide ribosomal RNA is filed under the name uncultured bacterium. RNAcentral's name for it is "partial 16S ribosomal RNA". It matches the Rfam family "Bacterial small subunit ribosomal RNA", at positions 338 to 795 of the family's 1533-position model. The record is from RNAcentral.